Long non-coding RNA from Pipra filicauda (Wire-tailed manakin), 522 nucleotides. RefSeq lists it as uncharacterized. NCBI's taxonomy places the organism in Eukaryota, Metazoa, Chordata, Aves, Passeriformes, Pipridae. The record is from RefSeq and is a predicted model, not a curated record. The transcript has 4 exons.
GACUAUAUGAAUAUACCUCUUGACUUGAGUAGGAGUUGACAUUGAUUUUUUGUUAGAGUUGGGGUGGAGAGGUUAGUCUUAGCUAGAAGCAGGAUUCUAAGCAUUAAAUGAAUGUUUCUUUUCCAGUACAUGUGAAGAAAAAGACAUAAAAGUUUUGUGACUGAGAAAAUAAGAGCAAAGCCAAGACUCCUAUUUACCUCAUUAUGUUACUCUCUUAAGUGAAUAAUUAAUAGGAGAUCUGAACCUCUGUGAAGUAACUUUAUACUUAUGAGCAGAAGAGGAGCCACUGAAAGCUGAAGAAUAUCAAUACAGAGAUCUAAUCUUUGCGAAUCAUGCAAGCUGACAAGGACGUCUGUAUCUGCUUCAGUCUGAGAAAUAGAGUUUGAUGAAAAUUCAGCUGCUGUGAGGAACAUGUGGCACCAACAGUCUGUGAUGACUCAACAGCUGGCAGAUGGCCCUAUGCUUUUACUGAGUAAGCUGUUAUUCCUGAGUUUGCAAUUUAAUGGCUUAUAUUUUGCUGGA